RNAcentral lists this long non-coding RNA (670 nucleotides) under Brassica napus (rape). RNAcentral describes it as "long non-coding RNA (BNAP_LNC003913)". The record is from RNAcentral. Lineage: Eukaryota; Viridiplantae; Streptophyta; Magnoliopsida; Brassicales; Brassicaceae.
GUCAAAAUACCCACCCGGGUAGAUACGUUUCUCCGGAUCCAGCUCAGCGUUACGCUGGAACUCGAUGUAACCAACCACUAACACCUCGAUCCAUAUCAAUGUCGUCAAGGAAAAUGGCAAUGGCUGUCCCAAAUACGAUGAACCUUCCACCAGUUCCACCUAAUAGGUGUGUGGAAACAAGAAACGAACCAAACCAAAAAAAAACAUGAACAAAAUACGAUGCUUAUUACAAACAUAUAAAAUGCAUUAAAAUAUAAUAAAAUACUAGAUUUUAAGUAGCAUUAUAUAUUUCAGUAGCUAUUAUAUUAUUAAACUGAAUUUUGUUUCAACCGAACCGAACCAACUAUAUGUUCCACAUAUGCAUUGUUCGGACACUUAGCCAUGCUUUUAACACUUAAACAACUCUUGUCAAUCAUGCAGAACGUUGUCAUCUUCUUAUUUAUAAUCUUUGUAUCUUAGUUCCAACGACCGACACGUGGAAAACUAUGACGAUCGAAAUGAACGUACCUUUCCGGCGUCUUGCCAGGCGAUCCCGGUGAGACCUUCGACGGCAAGAGCCCCAAGAACACCAAGCAUGGCCCACCUUCCGUGGAUCAGCUCGCAUUCUCUGAAACGUUCGAUCCCGAACACUUCAGUGUAUGGCUGAAACGGUGUCGGGUUGAUCUCCUUC